This is a long non-coding RNA of Olea europaea var. sylvestris, 236 nucleotides long. RefSeq lists it as uncharacterized. Lineage: Eukaryota; Viridiplantae; Streptophyta; Magnoliopsida; Lamiales; Oleaceae. The transcript is spliced from 3 exons. The record is from RefSeq and is a predicted model, not a curated record.
CACCGAUGAAUUUGUGAAGGUCAAGGACUUCAUUUCUACCCUCGUCCCCCCAGCUCCCUCUAGAAGUACUCCACCCACGGCUCAGGCGGCAAACGAGCCUACAAUUUUAGCUACUUCAGUGCAUGACGGAAAUGGAGGCGACACCGACCCUGUCCCGGAAUGUGAGGAACCGCAAGUGCAUGGAAGAGGCUUCUCCCCGUUGCCGGUCGAUCAUGACGAAGAUGUGGACAAGGAAA